UUGGAUUCCUUGAUAAUCUCUAGAUCCA
RNAcentral lists this non-coding RNA (28 nucleotides) under Rattus norvegicus (Norway rat). The record is from RNAcentral. Lineage: Eukaryota; Metazoa; Chordata; Mammalia; Rodentia; Muridae.